Olea europaea var. sylvestris is the source of this 1041-nucleotide long non-coding RNA. RefSeq lists it as uncharacterized. The record is from RefSeq and is a predicted model, not a curated record. The transcript has 3 exons. NCBI's taxonomy places the organism in Eukaryota, Viridiplantae, Streptophyta, Magnoliopsida, Lamiales, Oleaceae.
UUGAUUAUGCCUCUAACUCAAAAUGUCUACGUCUGUCCCUGCGUAAAGCACAAGCCCUUAUCUCGCCUCAUCUACCCUCAACAUCUAUCAAGUGCCUGGUCAAAUAUUCUCACUGAUUGCUAGACAUUUUCCCCUCCACAGCGAUCAUCUUCAUAUGAAACAUGUCGAGUUUUCUCGCGUCUGAAUGAAUUGGAUUUAAUUGAAUUACGGGCCGUGGGCUCCUAGAAAUUUUAAGAGGAAAUUACAAAAUUUCGGGUAUUUAAAAAUCAGAAUUCAAAAAUUAGGGGCAAGUUUUAUUAUUCACAAUUCAGGUAUUAAUAAAUAAAUCAACCAAUUUCAAACCAAAAUUUUAACCCCAUUACCCAUCUCUCUCUAUCCUCUUUCUUCCCGUCUCUCUCUAAACACACAAUGCAACCAAUUUCGUUUUUCAACAACACAGUGCCGGUCGGCCUUAAUGAGCGGCACCGCUGCAUUGCAGAAAAAUGGUGAAUGGGUAAUGCAUAAUUUGUGAUUACAGAUUCCAUUUAAUUAGUAUUUGAGUGUUCCACUUCUCUCUCUAAACACACAGUGCAAUCGAUUUCUUUUCGGCGUUUUCCAGCAACACAGCGGCGCUGGCUGGCCCUGAUAUGAGCGGCACUGUUGCAUUGCAGAAAAAUGGUGAAUGGAAUUUCCAUGGAUCAACUGAGGGAUACCACAUUAAGAUGAUGAACACAACAGGAGCUGGUGAUUCUUUUGUGGGAGCCCUUCAUGGCAUAAUCUGGAUUGAAGGAAGUGCUUAAAUUUGCAUGUGCCUUUGGAGCAAUCACGACUGAAAAAGGAGCCAUCCCAGCUCUCCCGACCAAGAAAGAAGUCCUCACUGUUCUCAAAGCAGGAAAAUAGAAAAAAGAGUUUCCUCCUUUCCUAAUUUUGAUUUUUGACAUGUUAUUGGUAUUAUUUGCAAUUCUUAAUAUGUUUCCAAUUUCUCAAUUUCAAGUUUUCUUUUUAUUUGCUUGUAAGGGUGCAAUAAUUUCUUUUAUAAGUUAAAUAAAUAUCGAUUCAUCA